RNAcentral lists this ribosomal RNA (630 nucleotides) under uncultured soil bacterium. RNAcentral describes it as "bacterial SSU rRNA". It matches the Rfam family "Bacterial small subunit ribosomal RNA", at positions 34 to 679 of the family's 1533-position model. The record is from RNAcentral.
CGCUGGCGGCGUGCCUAACACAUGCAAGUCGAACGAGANAGUGGAGCAAUCCAUGAGUMCAGUGGCGAACGGGUGAGUAACACGUGACUAACCUGCCUUCGAGUGGGGGAUAACCUCGGGAAACCGGGGCUAAUACCGCGUAACAUCCUCAGGGUGCAAUUCCCAGGGGACCAAAGGGGUAAGACGCUUGAAGAGGGGGUCGCGGCUGAUUAGCUAGUUGGUGAGGUAAUGGCUCACCAAGGCGAAGAUCGGUAGCCGGCCUGAGAGGGCGCACGGCCACACUGGAACUGAAACACGGUCCAGACUCCUACGGGAGGCAGCAGUGGGGAAUUUUGCGCAAUGGGGGAAACCCUGACGCAGCAACGCCGCGUGGAGGAUGAAGCCCCUUGGGGCGUAAACUCCUUUCGAUCGGGACGAUUAUGACGGUACCGGAUGAAGAAGCACCGGCUAACUCUGUGCCAGCAGCCGCGGUAAUACAGAGGGUGCGAGCGUUGUUCGGAAUUAUUGGGCGUAAAGGGCGCGUAGGCGGUGCGGCAAGUCACCUGUGAAACCUCUGGGCUUAACCCAGAGCCUGCAGGCGAAACUGCCGUGCUGGAGUGUGGGAGAGGUGCGUGGAAUUCCCGGUGUAGC